RNAcentral lists this ribosomal RNA (427 nucleotides) under uncultured bacterium. RNAcentral describes it as "bacterial SSU rRNA". It matches the Rfam family "Bacterial small subunit ribosomal RNA", at positions 354 to 796 of the family's 1533-position model. The record is from RNAcentral.
GUGGGGAAUUUUGCGCAAUGGGGGAAACCCUGACGCAGCAACGCCGCGUGGACGAUGAAGCUUCUUGGAGUGUAAAGUCCUUUCGGCAGGGACGAAAUUUUGACGGUACCUGCAGAAGAAGCCCCGGCUAACUUCGUGCCAGCAGCCGCGGUAAUACGAGGGGGGCGAGCGUUGUUCGGAAUUAUUGGGCGUAAAGGGCGCGUAGGCGGUGUGGCAAGUCAGGUGUGAAACCUCCAGGCUUAACUUGGAGCUUGCAUCUGAAACUGCCAUGCUAGAGUGUGGGAGAGGAGAGUGGAAUUCCUGGUGUAGCGGUGAAAUGCGUAGAUAUCAGGAGGAACACCGGUGGCGAAGGCGGCUCUCUGGACCACAACUGACGCUGAGGCGCGAAAGCUAGGGGAGCAAACAGGAUUAGAAACCCUAGUAGUCC